UACGUAGGUGGCAAGCGUUAUUCGGAUUUAUUGGGCGUAAAGGGAACGCAGGCGGUCUAUUAAGUCUGAUGUGAAAGCCUUCGGCUUAACCGGAGUAGUGCAUUGGGAACUGGGAGACUUGAGUGCAGAAGAGGAGAGUGGAACUCCAUGUGUAGCGGUGAAAUGCGUAGAUAUAUGGAGGAACACCGGUGGCGAAAGCGGCUCUCUGGCCUGUAACUGACACUGAGGCUCGAAAGCGUGGGGAGCAAACAGG
Molecule: ribosomal RNA, 253 nt
Filed under: uncultured bacterium
Lineage: Bacteria
Description: partial 16S ribosomal RNA
Rfam family: Bacterial small subunit ribosomal RNA
Source: RNAcentral